Molecule: ribosomal RNA, 417 nt
Filed under: uncultured eukaryote
Lineage: Eukaryota
Description: bacterial SSU rRNA
Rfam family: Eukaryotic small subunit ribosomal RNA
Source: RNAcentral
CAAUAGCGUAUAUUAAAGUUGUUGCAGUUAAAAAGCUCGUAGUUGGAUUUCUGGCCGAGUGUCCCUAGGCCAGCUUGACGUUUGGUCCUAGGCGCUCUGCCAUCCUUCUGUUAACCUUCGCCUCGUUCACUCGUGGCGCUGGGGCUCAGAUAUUUUACCUUGAGAAAAUUAGAGUGUUUCAGGCAGGCUUUCGCCGGAAUACAUUAGCAUGGAAUAAUGGAAAAGGACUUCAACCUCUUCUGUUGGUCUGAGAGGCUGUAGUAAUGAUUAAUAGGGAUAGUUGGGGGCAUUCAUAUUUCAUUGUCAGAGGUGAAAUUCUUGGAUUUAUGAAAGAUGAACUUCUGCGAAAGCAUUUGCCAAGGAUGUUUUCAUUAAUCAAGAACGAAAGUUAGGGGAUCAAAGACGAUCAGAUACCAU